This 338-nucleotide ribosomal RNA is filed under the name uncultured bacterium. Its description in RNAcentral is "bacterial SSU rRNA". It matches the Rfam family "Bacterial small subunit ribosomal RNA", at positions 541 to 881 of the family's 1533-position model. The record is from RNAcentral.
UUAUCCGGAUUUAUUGGGUUUAAAGGGAGCGUAGGCGGACGUUUAAGUCAGUUGUGAAAGUUUGCGGCUCAACCGUAAAAUUGCAGUUGAUACUGGGUGUCUUGAGUACAGUAGAGGCAGGCGGAAUUCGUGGUGUAGCGGUGAAAUGCUUAGAUAUCACGAAGAACUCCGAUUGCGAAGGCAGCUUGCUGGACUGUAACUGACGCUGAUGCUCGGAAGUGUGGGUAUCAAACAGGAUUAGAUACCCUGGUAGUCCACACAGUAAACGAUGAAUACUCGCUGUUUGCGAUAUACAGUAAGCGGCCAAGCGAAAGCGUUAAUUAUUCCACCUGGGGAUU